CCCACGAUGCGAGUUUACCCAAGAGCUCUCCCGAGUUUAAAAAAAAAUCAAACUCGUGGUAUUCUACGAACUCCUACGACCUUCCACGAGUAUGUUCAUGAACUCCUACGAGCUCCUACGAGUAUGUCUACGUAUCCCCACUAAUAUUUUG
Molecule: long non-coding RNA, 151 nt
Organism: Amblyraja radiata (thorny skate)
Lineage: Eukaryota; Metazoa; Chordata; Chondrichthyes; Rajiformes; Rajidae
Exons: 3
Source: RefSeq, a predicted model, not a curated record